Molecule: non-coding RNA, 21 nt
Filed under: Caenorhabditis elegans
Lineage: Eukaryota; Metazoa; Nematoda; Chromadorea; Rhabditida; Rhabditidae
Source: RNAcentral
UCGAAAUAAGAUUGCAUUAGC